GCAAAACUUUUAACGUGCCUACCUCAGAGCAGGCGAGAUCAC
This 42-nucleotide ribosomal RNA is filed under the name Sympetrum danae (black darter). Its description in RNAcentral is "partial 28S ribosomal RNA". Lineage: Eukaryota; Metazoa; Arthropoda; Insecta; Odonata; Libellulidae. The record is from RNAcentral.